This 301-nucleotide ribosomal RNA is filed under the name uncultured bacterium. RNAcentral's name for it is "partial 16S ribosomal RNA". It matches the Rfam family "Bacterial small subunit ribosomal RNA", at positions 509 to 807 of the family's 1533-position model. The record is from RNAcentral.
CAGUAGCCGCGGUAAUACAGAGGGUGCGAGCGUUAAUCGGAAUUACUGGGCGUAAAGCGCACGUAGGCUGACAUUUAAGUCAGGGGUGAAAUCCCGGGGCUCAACCUCGGAACUGCCUUUGAUACUGGGUGUCUUGAGUGUGGAAGAGGUAAGUGGAAUUGCGAGUGUAGAGGUGAAAUUCGUAGAUAUUCGCAGGAACACCAGUGGCGAAGGCGGCUUACUGGUCCACAACUGACGCUGAGGUGCGAAAGCGUGGGGAGCAAACAGGAUUAGAGACCCCCGUAGUCCCUGUCUCUUAUAC